CGGAGGGGCUAGCGUUGUUCGGAAUUACUGGGCGUAAAGCGCGCGUAGGCGGACCUGCAAGUCGGGGGUGAAAGCCCGAGGCUCAACCUCGGAACUGCCUUCGAUACUGCGGGUCUCGAGUCCGGGAGAGGUGAGUGGAAUUCCUAGUGUAGAGGUGAAAUUCGUAGAUAUUAGGAAGAACACCAGUGGCGAAGGCGGCUCACUGGCCCGGUACUGACGCUGAGGCGCGAAAGCGUGGGGAGCAAACAGGAUU
RNAcentral lists this ribosomal RNA (253 nucleotides) under uncultured bacterium. RNAcentral describes it as "partial 16S ribosomal RNA". It matches the Rfam family "Bacterial small subunit ribosomal RNA", at positions 527 to 779 of the family's 1533-position model. The record is from RNAcentral.